This 712-nucleotide ribosomal RNA is filed under the name uncultured Acidovorax sp. RNAcentral's name for it is "bacterial SSU rRNA". It matches the Rfam family "Bacterial small subunit ribosomal RNA", at positions 55 to 764 of the family's 1533-position model. Lineage: Bacteria; Pseudomonadati; Pseudomonadota; Betaproteobacteria; Burkholderiales; Comamonadaceae. The record is from RNAcentral.
AUGCAAGUCGAACGGUAACAGGUCUUCGGAUGCUGACGAGUGGCGAACGGGUGAGUAAUACAUCGGAACGUGCCCAGACGUGGGGGAUAACGAGGCGAAAGCUUUGCUAAUACCGCAUACGAUCUAAGGAUGAAAGCAGGGGACCGCAAGGCCUUGCGCGUUUGGAGCGGCCGAUGGCAGAUUAGGUAGUUGGUGGGAUAAAAGCUUACCAAGCCGACGAUCUGUAGCUGGUCUGAGAGGACGACCAGCCACACUGGGACUGAGACACGGCCCAGACUCCUACGGGAGGCAGCAGUGGGGAAUUUUGGACAAUGGGCGAAAGCCUGAUCCAGCAAUGCCGCGUGCAGGAUGAAGGCCUUCGGGUUGUAAACUGCUUUUGUACGGAACGAAAAGGCUCUGGCUAAUACCUGGGGCACAUGACGGUACCGUAAGAAUAAGCACCGGCUAACUACGUGCCAGCAGCCGCGGUAAUACGUAGGGUGCGAGCGUUAAUCGGAAUUACUGGGCGUAAAGCGUGCGCAGGCGGUUUUGUAAGACAGAGGUGAAAUCCCCGGGCUCAACCUGGGAACUGCCUUUGUGACUGCAAAGCUGGAGUGCGGCAGAGGGGGAUGGAAUUCCGCGUGUAGCAGUGAAAUGCGUAGAUAUGCGGAGGAACACCGAUGGCGAAGGCAAUCCCCUGGGCCUGCACUGACGCUCAUGCACGAAAGCGUGG